This 500-nucleotide ribosomal RNA is filed under the name uncultured bacterium. Its description in RNAcentral is "bacterial SSU rRNA". It matches the Rfam family "Bacterial small subunit ribosomal RNA", at positions 1009 to 1512 of the family's 1533-position model. The record is from RNAcentral.
UGAGCUUCCCGCAAGGGUUCGGAGACAGGUGCUGCAUGGCUGUCGUCAGCUCGUGUCGUGAGAUGUUGGGUUAAGUCCCGCAACGAGCGCAACCCUCGCCUUUAGUUGCCAUCAUUAAGUUGGGCACUCUAGAGGGACCGCCGGCGGCAAGCCGGAGGAAGGUGGGGAUGACGUCAAGUCCUCAUGGCCCUUACACCCUGGGCUACACACGUGCUACAAUGGCGGUGACAAUGGGCAGCUACUUCGCGAGAAGAUGCUAAUCCCAAAAAACCGUCCCAGUUCAGAUUGUACUCUGCAACUCGGGUACAUGAAGGUGGAAUCGCUAGUAAUCGCAGAACAGCAGGCUGCGGUGAAUACGUUCCCGGGCCUUGUACACACCGCCCGUCACGGCAUGGGAGUUGGUUUUACCCGAAGACGGUGCGCUAACCGCAAGGAGGCAGCCGGCCACGGUAGGAUCAGCGACUGGGCCGAAGUCGUAACAAGGUAGCCGUAGGGGAACC